AGGUCAAGUGAAGAAGGGCGCACGGUGAAUGCCUUGGCACUGGAAGCCGAUGAAGGACGCGACUAACCGCGAAAGUCUUCGGGGAGCCGUAAGUAGGCUUUGAUCCGGAGGUCUCCGAAUGGGGGAACCCAGCAUGUGCAGACAUGCUAUCCUUAAGUGAAUACAUAGCUUAAGGAGGGAACACGCAGUGAACUGAAACAUCUAAGUAGCUGCAGGAAGAGAAAGAAAUAUCGAUUUCCCAAGUAGCGGCGAGCGAACAGGAAAGAGCCCAAACCGGCAGAUUUAUCUGCCGGGGUUGUAGGACUGAGACA
This 311-nucleotide ribosomal RNA is filed under the name Lactobacillus delbrueckii subsp. bulgaricus. Its description in RNAcentral is "partial 23S ribosomal RNA". It matches the Rfam family "Bacterial large subunit ribosomal RNA", at positions 1 to 313 of the family's 2925-position model. The record is from RNAcentral. Lineage: Bacteria; Bacillati; Bacillota; Bacilli; Lactobacillales; Lactobacillaceae.